This 674-nucleotide ribosomal RNA is filed under the name Stanhopea insignis. RNAcentral's name for it is "eukaryotic LSU rRNA". The stretch from base 256 to 411 matches the Rfam family "5.8S ribosomal RNA". Lineage: Eukaryota; Viridiplantae; Streptophyta; Magnoliopsida; Asparagales; Orchidaceae. The record is from RNAcentral.
GGAGAAGUCGUAACAAGGUUUCCGUAGGUGAACCUGCGGAAGGAUCAUUGUCGAGACCGAAAUACAUACCGAGCGAUUAGGAGAACCCGUGAAAUGAGCAAACGGCCAUCCUGGUCGUAGCCUUCAUCUCCUUGGGGAGGGGGGAUGGAUGAAACACAAAUCGGCGCAGCAUUGCGCCAAGGGACGACUGAAAGCACGAGCCCCACGUCGGGCUCGGUGGUGUGGGGUGCUGUUGCACGCCAUGCGGAUGGACACGACUCUCGGCAAUGGAUAUCUUGGCUCUCGCAUCGAUGAAGAGCGCAGCGAAAUGCGAUACGUGGUGCGAAUUGCAAAAUCCCGUGAACCAUCAAGUCUUUGAACGCAAGUUGCGCCCGAGGCCAACCGGCCAAGGGCACGUUCGCCUGGGCGUCAAGCGUUGCGUCGCUCCGUGCCAGCGCCAAUGGGCGUGUCGGCCGUGGCUCGGAUGUGCAGAAUGGCUCGUCGUGCCCAUCGGCGCGGCGGGUCAAAGAACGAGCUUCGACUCGCUGGUCGCGAACAACAAGGGGGGUGAAAUGGUGUGCAACCUGCGUUGUCUCGUGCCGGCCUGAAAGACGGAUUGUUCCUUCAAUGUGAUCCGACCCAAAAGCCGAUCGACAUGCGGCGGCUUGGAAUGCCACCCCUGGACGGGCGAGGAC